UUUUACAGGGCCGUAACUACAUUGAGGCAAAUGAGGCAAAUGCCUCAUGCUGGAAAUUUAAAAAAAAAAAAAAAAAUGAAAAAAAAGAUUGUCUUUAUAUCAAAUUGUUUUCACGGAAAGUGUCUUGCAAGAAGCAAGUUUUCUUCACUCCCUGAUGUCGCCCCUGCAUUUUUUUCGUGGUCUGUUUCUAUUUUACUUUUAGUUUUCGGAGUUGGUGGUCUAUUGUUUGUACUUCUGUGUCUCGGAUUUGCCUAUUGUUCUUUUAUUGUCCAACUUUAUGACUAGAGUCUGAGUGUUGUUUUUCAUUUGUAAACGUGUACAAUGUUGCAUGUCCAUCGAUGUCCAGAUAUUGUGCGGGAAAAUAUUUUAACAAUAUGCUGUCGUUUUUUAUAUAGAUUAGACCGUUG
This 407-nucleotide long non-coding RNA is filed under the name Mytilus galloprovincialis (Mediterranean mussel). Lineage: Eukaryota; Metazoa; Mollusca; Bivalvia; Mytilida; Mytilidae. The record is from RNAcentral.